UAGCAUAACCCCUAAGCUCCACAUAUCAAU
RNAcentral lists this non-coding RNA (30 nucleotides) under Rattus norvegicus (Norway rat). The record is from RNAcentral. Lineage: Eukaryota; Metazoa; Chordata; Mammalia; Rodentia; Muridae.